GUACAAGGUUUCCGUAGGUGAACCUGCGGAAGGAUCAUUGUCG
This 43-nucleotide ribosomal RNA is filed under the name Agrostis stolonifera. Its description in RNAcentral is "partial 18S ribosomal RNA". Lineage: Eukaryota; Viridiplantae; Streptophyta; Magnoliopsida; Poales; Poaceae. The record is from RNAcentral.